GCCUUUGUGGUGUAAUGGUGAGCACGCUCGGCGCGUAUUCAAGAAGUCUGAGGUUCGAGUCCCAGCGAGGGCA
This 73-nucleotide transfer RNA is filed under the name Stegodyphus mimosarum. It matches the Rfam family "tRNA". From Rfam's summary of the family: Transfer RNA (tRNA) molecules are approximately 80 nucleotides in length. Their secondary structure includes four short double-helical elements and three loops (D, anti-codon, and T loops). Further hydrogen bonds mediate the characteristic L-shaped molecular structure. tRNAs have two regions of fundamental functional importance: the anti-codon, which is responsible for specific mRNA codon recognition, and the 3' end, to which the tRNAs corresponding amino acid is attached (by aminoacyl-tRNA synthetases). tRNAs cope with the degeneracy of the genetic code in two manners: having more than one tRNA (with a specific anti-codon) for a particular amino acid; and 'wobble' base-pairing, i.e. permitting non-standard base-pairing at the 3rd anti-codon position. The record is from Rfam by way of RNAcentral. Lineage: Eukaryota; Metazoa; Arthropoda; Arachnida; Araneae; Eresidae.